Molecule: ribosomal RNA, 237 nt
Filed under: uncultured bacterium
Lineage: Bacteria
Description: partial 16S ribosomal RNA
Rfam family: Bacterial small subunit ribosomal RNA
Source: RNAcentral
CGAACGGGUGAGUAACGCGUGGGGAACCUGCCUCAAAGAGGGGGACAACAGCUGGAAACGACUGCUAAUACCGCAUAAGCCCACGGCUCGGCAUCGAGCAGAGGGAAAAGGAGUGAUCCGCUUUGAGAUGGCCUCGCGUCCGAUUAGCUGGUUGGUGAGGUAACGGCCCACCAAGGCGACGAUCGGUAGCCGGACUGAGAGGUUGAACGGCCACAUUGGGACUGAGACACGGCCCAG